UGGGGAAUUUUGGACAAUGGGCGAAAGCCUGAUCCAGCAAUGCCGCGUGUGUGAAGAAGGCCUUCGGGUUGUAAAGCACUUUUGUCCGGAAAGAAAUCCUUGGCUCUAAUACAGUCGGGGGAUGACGGUACCGGAAGAAUAAGCACCGGCUAACUACGUGCCAGCAGCCGCGGUAAUACGUAGGGUGCAAGCGUUAAUCGGAAUUACUGGGCGUAAAGCGUGCGCAGGCGGUUUGCUAAGACCGAUGUGAAAUCCCCGGGCUCAACCUGGGAACUGCAUUGGUGACUGGCAGGCUAGAGUAUGGCAGAGGGGGGUAGAAUUCCACGUGUAGCAGUGAAAUGCGUAGAGAUGUGGAGGAAUACCGAUGGCGAAGGCAGCCCCCUGGGCCAAUACUGACGCUCACGCACGAAAGCGUGGGAGCAAACAGGAUUAGAUACCCUGGUAGUCCACGCCCUAAACGAUGUCAACUAGUUGUUGGGGAUUCAUUUCCUUAGUAACGUAGCUAACGCGUGAAGUUGACCGCCUGGGGAGUACGGUCGCAAGAUUAAAACUCAAAGGAAUUGACGGGGUCAUAGCUGUUUCCU
RNAcentral lists this ribosomal RNA (584 nucleotides) under uncultured bacterium. Its description in RNAcentral is "partial 16S ribosomal RNA". It matches the Rfam family "Bacterial small subunit ribosomal RNA", at positions 355 to 1375 of the family's 1533-position model. The record is from RNAcentral.